GCUCCCGUAGUGUAGUCCGGUCAAUCAUGCAACCCUCUCACGGUUGCGACUCGGGUUCAAAUCCCGACGGGAGCG
This 75-nucleotide transfer RNA is filed under the name Nanobdellota archaeon. RNAcentral describes it as "tRNA-Glu". It matches the Rfam family "tRNA". From Rfam's summary of the family: Transfer RNA (tRNA) molecules are approximately 80 nucleotides in length. Their secondary structure includes four short double-helical elements and three loops (D, anti-codon, and T loops). Lineage: Archaea; Nanobdellati; Nanobdellota. The record is from RNAcentral.